Molecule: non-coding RNA, 76 nt
Organism: Zootoca vivipara (common lizard)
Lineage: Eukaryota; Metazoa; Chordata; Lepidosauria; Squamata; Lacertidae
Source: the annotation of a RefSeq genome assembly
UUGACCAUCAGCUCAGUUGGUAGAGCAUGAGACUCUCAAUCUCAGGGUCAUGGGUUUGAGCCCCACGUUGGGCAAA